UGGGGGAUAUUGCACAAUGGGCGAAAGCCUGAUGCAGCGACGCCGCGUGGGGGAUGAAGGCCUUCGGGUUGUAAACUUCUUUUGCUCUGAACAAGGCAUGCUUUUGGGGUGUGUUGAGUGUAGGGGUUGAUUAGCGCCGGCUAACUACGUGCCAGCAGCCGCGGUAAUACGUAGGGCGCGAGCGUUGUCCGGAAUUAUUGGGCGUAAAGGGCUUGUAGGUGGCUGGUUGCGUCUGUCGUGAAAGCUCAUGGCUUAACUGUGGGUUUGCGGUGGGUACGGGCUGGCUUGAGUGCAGGAGGGGCGGGUGGAAUUCCUGGUGUAGCGGUGGAAUGCGCAGAUAUCAGGAGGAAUACCGGUGGCGAAGGCGGGUCUCUGGGCUGUUACUGACGCUGAGGAGCGAAAGCGUGGGGAGCGAACAGG
This 420-nucleotide ribosomal RNA is filed under the name Fusobacteriota bacterium. Its description in RNAcentral is "Fusobacteria bacterium partial 16S ribosomal RNA". It matches the Rfam family "Bacterial small subunit ribosomal RNA", at positions 355 to 776 of the family's 1533-position model. Lineage: Bacteria; Fusobacteriati; Fusobacteriota. The record is from RNAcentral.